GUUCUUAUAGUUGAAAUACAGCAACAGCUUUUCGUGUUGUAGGUCAUGGUAUAGAGUCCAUGUAAGAAUA
This 70-nucleotide transfer RNA is filed under the name Rhynchocyon cirnei (checkered elephant shrew). RNAcentral's name for it is "tRNA-Glu". It matches the Rfam family "tRNA". Rfam says of the family: Transfer RNA (tRNA) molecules are approximately 80 nucleotides in length. Their secondary structure includes four short double-helical elements and three loops (D, anti-codon, and T loops). The record is from RNAcentral. Lineage: Eukaryota; Metazoa; Chordata; Mammalia; Macroscelidea; Macroscelididae.